RNAcentral lists this ribosomal RNA (851 nucleotides) under Stagonosporopsis cucurbitacearum. RNAcentral's name for it is "eukaryotic LSU rRNA". It matches the Rfam family "Eukaryotic large subunit ribosomal RNA", at positions 74 to 943 of the family's 3401-position model. The record is from RNAcentral. Lineage: Eukaryota; Fungi; Ascomycota; Dothideomycetes; Pleosporales; Didymellaceae.
AUUGCCCUAGUAACGGCGAGUGAAGCGGCAACAGCUCAAAUUUGAAAUCUGGCGUCUUCGGCGUCCGAGUUGUAAUUUGCAGAGGGCGCUUUGGCAUUGGCAGCGGUCCAAGUUCCUUGGAACAGGACGUCACAGAGGGUGAGAAUCCCGUACGUGGUCGCUAGCCUUUACCGUGUAAAGCCCCUUCGACGAGUCGAGUUGUUUGGGAAUGCAGCUCUAAAUGGGAGGUAAAUUUCUUCUAAAGCUAAAUACUGGCCAGAGACCGAUAGCGCACAAGUAGAGUGAUCGAAAGAUGAAAAGCACUUUGGAAAGAGAGUUAAAAAGCACGUGAAAUUGUUGAAAGGGAAGCGCUUGCAGCCAGACUUGCCUGUAGUUGCUCAUCCGGGUUUCUACCCGGUGCACUCUUCUAUAGGCAGGCCAGCAUCAGUUUGGGCGGUUGGAUAAAGGUCUCUGUCAUGUACCUCCUUUCGGGGAGAUCUUAUAGGGGAGACGACAUGCAACCAGCCUGGACUGAGGUCCGCGCAUCUGCUAGGAUGCUGGCGUAAUGGCUGUAAGCGGCCCGUCUUGAAACACGGACCAAGGAGUCUAACAUCUAUGCGAGUGUUUGGGUGUCAAGCCCGAACGCGUAAUGAAAGUGAACGGAGGUGGGAACCUUUCGGGGUGCACCAUCGACCGAUCCUGAUGUCUUCGGAUGGAUUUGAGUAAGAGCAUAGCUGUUGGGACCCGAAAGAUGGUGAACUAUGCUUGAAUAGGGUGAAGCCAGAGGAAACUCUGGUGGAGGCUCGCAGCGGUUCUGACGUGCAAAUCGAUCGUCAAAUUUGGGCAUAGGGGCGAAAGACUAAUCGAACUAU